UAUCUCUGUAGAGUCUGCAUAUCAAUAAGCGGAGGAAAAGAAACUAACAAGGAUUCCCCUAGUAACGGCGAGUGAAGCGGGAAGAGCUCAAAUUUGAAAUCUUCAAGGUUUGACCUUGACGAAUUGUAGUUUAAAGAAGUGUUUUCGGUUAGAGGAGUAGUAAAAGUUCUUUGGAAUAGGACAUCAUAGAGGGUGAGAAUCCCGUAUUUGACUAUUCUUUCUAGCUUUGUGAUACACUUUCAAAGAGUCGGAUUGUUUGGGAAUGCAGUCCAAAAUGGGUGGUAAAUUUCAUCUAAAGCUAAAUAUUAGGCGAGAGACCGAUAGCGAACAAGUACCGUGAGGGAAAGAUGAAAAGAACUUUGAAAAGAGAGUUAAACAGUACGUGAAAUUGUCAAAAGGGAAGCGUUUGACACCAGUGUUGUUUUUCCGAAAAUCAAUUAAAAAUUGAUUCAUGCCAGGUUGUAUUGACCUUAUCAGCUUGCAAUUUGGUUUUGGGUCUCUUUUUGAUGCACUUUUCGGUUAACAGGUCAACAUCAAUUUCCUUUGCUGUAAAAAGGUAAGAGGAAGGUGGCUUCAAUUUCGGUUGAAGUGUUUAUAGCCUUUUAUCUCUGCAGUCGGGGAGAUUGAGGUCUGCAGCGUAGAUCCUUCGGGGCUAGAUACAUUUAUGCUAAGUUAUAGCUUUUCAUAGACAACUUGUUGACUAUGUUUAGUCAUGUAGCUUACUCGUAAGUGCUAUUUUACCUACGCUUAGGAUGUUGAAGACUCUACAGAGAUA
This 775-nucleotide ribosomal RNA is filed under the name uncultured Neocallimastigales. Its description in RNAcentral is "partial large subunit ribosomal RNA". It matches the Rfam family "Eukaryotic large subunit ribosomal RNA", at positions 24 to 642 of the family's 3401-position model. Lineage: Eukaryota; Fungi; Neocallimastigomycota; Neocallimastigomycetes; Neocallimastigales. The record is from RNAcentral.